CACGUAGGGGGCGAGCGUUGUCCGGAUUUAUUGGGCGUAAAGAGCUCGUAGGCGGCUCAGUAAGUCGGGUGUGAAAACUCCAGGCUCAACCUGGAGACGCCACCCGAUACUGCUGUGGCUAGAGUCCGGUAGGGGAGCAUGGAAUUCCUGGUGUAGCGGUGAAAUGCGCAGAUAUCAGGAGGAACACCGGUGGCGAAGGCGGUUCUCUGGGCAUUACCUGACGCUGAGGAGCGAAAGUGUGGGGAGCGAACAGG
Molecule: ribosomal RNA, 254 nt
Filed under: uncultured bacterium
Lineage: Bacteria
Description: partial 16S ribosomal RNA
Rfam family: Bacterial small subunit ribosomal RNA
Source: RNAcentral